GCCUGGGUGGCUCAGUCGGUUGAGCGUCCGACUUCAGCUCAGGUCAUGAUCUCACGGUUCGUGGGUUCGAGCCCCGCAUCGGGCU
Molecule: transfer RNA, 85 nt
Filed under: Crocuta crocuta (spotted hyena)
Lineage: Eukaryota; Metazoa; Chordata; Mammalia; Carnivora; Hyaenidae
Also listed under: 1 other name
Rfam family: tRNA
About the family: Transfer RNA (tRNA) molecules are approximately 80 nucleotides in length. Their secondary structure includes four short double-helical elements and three loops (D, anti-codon, and T loops). Further hydrogen bonds mediate the characteristic L-shaped molecular structure. tRNAs have two regions of fundamental functional importance: the anti-codon, which is responsible for specific mRNA codon recognition, and the 3' end, to which the tRNAs corresponding amino acid is attached (by aminoacyl-tRNA synthetases). tRNAs cope with the degeneracy of the genetic code in two manners: having more than one tRNA (with a specific anti-codon) for a particular amino acid; and 'wobble' base-pairing, i.e. permitting non-standard base-pairing at the 3rd anti-codon position.
Source: Rfam by way of RNAcentral